CAACUUUAACAACGGAUCUCUUGGCUCCUCCCUCCAUUAAGAACGCCACCAAAUGGCAAAAAGUAAUGGUAAUUGCAGAAUUCAGUGAAUCAUCGAAUCUUUGAACGCACCUUGCGCUCCCUGGUAUUCCGAGGAGCACGCCUGUUCGAGUGUCAUGAAAAUUUGUCA
RNAcentral lists this ribosomal RNA (168 nucleotides) under Clavulina humicola. RNAcentral's name for it is "5.8S ribosomal RNA". It matches the Rfam family "5.8S ribosomal RNA". From Rfam's summary of the family: 5.8S ribosomal RNA (5.8S rRNA) is a component of the large subunit of the eukaryotic ribosome. It is transcribed by RNA polymerase I as part of the 45S precursor that also contains 18S and 28S rRNA. The record is from RNAcentral. Lineage: Eukaryota; Fungi; Basidiomycota; Agaricomycetes; Cantharellales; Hydnaceae.